This 267-nucleotide ribosomal RNA is filed under the name uncultured bacterium. Its description in RNAcentral is "partial 16S ribosomal RNA". It matches the Rfam family "Bacterial small subunit ribosomal RNA", at positions 793 to 1055 of the family's 1533-position model. The record is from RNAcentral.
GUCCACGCCCUAAACGAUGUCAACUAGUUGUUGGUGGAGUAAAAUCCAUUAGUAACGCAGCUAACGCGUGAAGUUGACCGCCUGGGGGAGUACGGUCGCAAGAUUAAAACUCAAAGGAAUUGACGGGGGCCCGCACAAGCGGUGGAUUAUGUGGAUUAAUUCUAUGCAACGCGAAAAACCUUACCUGGCCUUGACAUGUACGGAACUUUCCAGAGAUGGAUUGGUGCCCGAAAGGGAGCCGUAACACAGGUGCUGCAUGGCUGUCGU